Molecule: long non-coding RNA, 579 nt
Organism: Vigna unguiculata (cowpea)
Lineage: Eukaryota; Viridiplantae; Streptophyta; Magnoliopsida; Fabales; Fabaceae
Source: RefSeq, a predicted model, not a curated record
CAAAUCUAACAGUCAAAUCCCAAUGCAAGCAUCUAACUAGCCAUAGCCAUAGAUUUUCUGUUAUUCCACCUGCUGCGACCUACCAUGUUACAAAACAUAUUUACAUAUCACUAUAAACCCACCAUUUCUCAACUUUCCCUUUUCCACUUCGUGACUGGUUGAUCCAGAGUUUCGAUUUUAAAAGGAAAAAUCCAAGUCGAGUUAGCUGGGAGAGUAAAGAGGAUGGGGUGCUCUCGAAUGCAAGAAAAUGAGUGUUGCUGAGCUUGUUCUCUUUGGAGUAUGCAGUUUUCUUUGUCGCAAGUUUUCCAGGUCUGACAUGAGUAUCUUUUCAUGCAUGGCUGCCAUUCAUAUUAUGUAAUCUCUGGACAGUACGUGGAUCUGUAUUCAGUUUUUUUCAGCAAACUUGGCCUUCAUCUCUGGAUACACAACAAAACAUGUAUACAUAAAAAUCCCAGUAUUCUCGGACACUUGGUAUUUGAUGAAGCAGUUAACAGAUAAGAACAGUGGUAGAUAUACUAUUGGUUGUGGUGAUGGUGAUCAUGAGCCAUCUUGAUGAUAGGGUCGUUAACGUGAUGGGUG